Long non-coding RNA from Ailuropoda melanoleuca (giant panda), 880 nucleotides. RefSeq lists it as uncharacterized. The transcript is spliced from 3 exons. The record is from RefSeq and is a predicted model, not a curated record. NCBI's taxonomy places the organism in Eukaryota, Metazoa, Chordata, Mammalia, Carnivora, Ursidae.
CUAGCGCGUCUAGUGUGACAGCUGUUUUCCAGUUUCUCUGCUCACCUCUCGGGUCUCGUUCCCCUUCCUCACUUCCAACGAGCUUCUCCCGCCUUCUUUUGGUGUAUGGAAAACGGAAGCCAUGAAACUCGAGAUCUUUACGGUGACAAACUAAAGCUUCUGUCUACCCGAAUGGGAUGUCUCUCCAACAGCUAACACACACGGAGCGCGUGUGCCAGGAGCUGCCCUCUGUGUCUCUCAUACAACAGCUCAUUUAGCUUUCGCAACAGAACCAGGAGGAGAGUAUAAGGAAUACAGAGUACAGGCACCAGAGUCAGAGACCUUCAUUCUGAGUUCUGAGAGUUGUGUGCUGUGUGACCCUGGGCUUAUCGAGAUGAAACAUAUCACAUCUGCCAGGAAGGUGUUGGAUCCCAGUGGGAAACAGCAAGAAGUCAACAUGUAAUUAUAAGCCAGUGGUAGAUGUGCCACCACCCAGGUAAUCACAAGAGGAAUGUCUUGGACGUGACAGUUUUGGGGGUCAUUUGCAGAGAGAAAAGAGCUAAAGCUGUGGGAAGGGAUAAUGUUAUCAAAGAGGGAUGGGCUUUGCCCAAUCCUUUGAAAAACACUUGUGUUUAGGGACUGAGAGUGGGGAGAGAAGGAUAAGGGGCUAAUAUUUGCUGAGACCCUUCUAGUGCCAAGUGUCAUGCUGUUGAUGACACAUUAUCCCAUUUAAUGCUCACAACUUACCAGGAAGAACCACUGGUUCUUUAUUUUGUAAAUGGGAAAACCGAGCCCCUUAGAGUUUAAGAAAUGUGCUGAAGGAUGUUGCCUAAAUUUUGUCUUUUCCAUGAGACCUUCCCUGAUCAUCCUUUUUAGAAUUGCAUCUCGCCCCUGCCUCCAC